Molecule: ribosomal RNA, 992 nt
Filed under: Sodalis sp. G03 79-5
Lineage: Bacteria; Pseudomonadati; Pseudomonadota; Gammaproteobacteria; Enterobacterales; Bruguierivoracaceae
Description: bacterial SSU rRNA
Rfam family: Bacterial small subunit ribosomal RNA
Source: RNAcentral
UAGCUUGCUACUUUGCCGGCGAGCGGCGGACGGGUGAGUAAUGUCUGGGGAUCUGCCUGAUGGUGGGGGAUAACUACUGGAAACGGUAGCUAAUACCGCAUAACGUCGCAAGACCAAAGUGGGGGACCUUCGGGCCUCACGCCAUCGGAUGAACCCAGAUGGGAUUAGCUAGUAGGUGAGGUAAUGGCUCACCUAGGCGACGAUCCCUAGCUGGUCUGAGAGGAUGACCAGCCACACUGGAACUGAGACACGGUCCAGACUCCUACGGGAGGCAGCAGUGGGGAAUAUUGCACAAUGGGCGCAAGCCUGAUGCAGCCAUGCCGCGUGUGUGAAGAAGGCCUUCGGGUUGUAAAGCACUUUCAGCGAGGAGGAAGGGGUAAGUGUUAAUAGCGCUUAUCAUUGACGUUACUCGCAGAAGAAGCACCGGCUAACUCCGUGCCAGCAGCCGCGGUAAUACGGAGGGUGCGAGCGUUAAUCGGAAUUACUGGGCGUAAAGCGUACGCAGGCGGUUUGUUAAGUCAGAUGUGAAAUCCCCGAGCUUAACUCGGGAACUGCAUUUGAAACUGGCAAGCUAGAGUCUCGUAGAGGGGGGUAGAAUUCCAGGUGUAGCGGUGAAAUGCGUAGAGAUCUGGAGGAAUACCGGUGGCGAAGGCGGCCCCCUGGACGAAGACUGACGCUCAGGUACGAAAGCGUGGGGAGCAAACAGGAUUAGAUACCCUGGUAGUCCACGCUGUAAACGAUGUCGAUUUGAAGGUUGUGGCCUUGAGCCGUGGCUUUCGGAGCUAACGCGUUAAAUCGACCGCCUGGGGAGUACGGCCGCAAGGUUAAAACUCAAAUGAAUUGACGGGGGCCCGCACAAGCGGUGGAGCAUGUGGUUUAAUUCGAUGCAACGCGAAGAACCUUACCUACUCUUGACAUCCAGAGAAUUCAGCAGAGAUGCUUUAGUGCCUUCGGGAACUCUGAGACAGGUGCUGCAUGGCUGUCGUCAGCUC